This 288-nucleotide long non-coding RNA is filed under the name Mytilus galloprovincialis (Mediterranean mussel). Lineage: Eukaryota; Metazoa; Mollusca; Bivalvia; Mytilida; Mytilidae. The record is from RNAcentral.
CCUUAGUUCCAUGAUUGCUCCUUGUGAAAGAUUGAAUUCUGUAGAUUAUCCAUGAUGUUUGUAAUUAAAUAUUUAAUUCAUUAACGAUUUUGUCCUAUUAUGCCGAUCAUUUACACUCAUUUCAUUAAAUGCAUCACUUGACUAUCACAUUUUCAAGGAAUGUGACUACUGACCUAGCUAUGCAAAUGACCCACGUUGACAUCACGCCAUCUAUGACGUAACUCUCACAACAUUGAGCGCCAAAUUUGACUCAAUUCAGUUUCUUUGUCUCCGUAUGAAAAACGUCUU